ACAGCGGCGCAUCCCGAGACUCAUGUCUAAAAUGAACAUAGUUGGCAGAGUCCAACAAAUCAGACGGGAUGUUUCUUCUUCAAAAGCUAGGCAAAGAGUGAUUGAAAAGUUCCCGAUU
This is a long non-coding RNA of Thalassophryne amazonica, 118 nucleotides long. RefSeq lists it as uncharacterized. The record is from RefSeq and is a predicted model, not a curated record. Lineage: Eukaryota; Metazoa; Chordata; Actinopteri; Batrachoidiformes; Batrachoididae. The transcript is spliced from 3 exons.